This 84-nucleotide transfer RNA is filed under the name bacterium. Its description in RNAcentral is "tRNA-Ser". It matches the Rfam family "tRNA". Rfam says of the family: Transfer RNA (tRNA) molecules are approximately 80 nucleotides in length. Their secondary structure includes four short double-helical elements and three loops (D, anti-codon, and T loops). Further hydrogen bonds mediate the characteristic L-shaped molecular structure. tRNAs have two regions of fundamental functional importance: the anti-codon, which is responsible for specific mRNA codon recognition, and the 3' end, to which the tRNAs corresponding amino acid is attached (by aminoacyl-tRNA synthetases). tRNAs cope with the degeneracy of the genetic code in two manners: having more than one tRNA (with a specific anti-codon) for a particular amino acid; and 'wobble' base-pairing, i.e. permitting non-standard base-pairing at the 3rd anti-codon position. The record is from RNAcentral.
GGAAAGGUGGCAGAGUGGUCGAUUGCGGCAGUCUUGAAAACUGCUGACUCACAAGGUCCGCGGGUUCGAAUCCCGCCCUUUCCG